Molecule: ribosomal RNA, 528 nt
Filed under: uncultured bacterium
Lineage: Bacteria
Description: bacterial SSU rRNA
Rfam family: Bacterial small subunit ribosomal RNA
Source: RNAcentral
CAGGGGUUUUGCGCAUGGGCGAAGCCUGAGCAGCAACGCCGCGUGGGGGAUGAAGGCUCCUGGGUCGUAAACCCCACCUGCCGGGGAGGAUAAUGACGGUACCCGGCGAAUAAGCCACGGCUAACUACGUGCCAGCAGCCGCGGUAAUACGUAGGUGGCAAGCGUUGUCCGGAUUUAUUGGGCGUAAAGGGCGCGCAGGCGGUUUCGUUUAAGUUUCGAGGUUGAAAUCUCCUUGGCUCAACUUGGGAGGGGUCUUUCGGGAUACCUGGCGGACUUUGAGGAGAGCAGAGGUGAGUGGAAUUUCUUGGGUGUAGUGGUGAAAUGCGUAGAUUUCCAGAGGAACACCAGUGGCGAAGGCGACUCACUGGGCUCCACCUGACGCUGAGGCGCGAAAGCGUGGGGAGCGAACCGGAUUAGAUACCCGGGUAGUCCACGCCGUAAACGAUGGACACUAGGUGUGGGGGGUAUUGACCCCCUCCGUGCCGCAGCAAACGCGAUAAGUUGUCCCGCCUGGGGAGUACGGUCGCA